RNAcentral lists this long non-coding RNA (322 nucleotides) under Jatropha curcas. RNAcentral's name for it is "long non-coding RNA (JCUR_LNC000407)". Lineage: Eukaryota; Viridiplantae; Streptophyta; Magnoliopsida; Malpighiales; Euphorbiaceae. The record is from RNAcentral.
AAAUCCCAAAAACACUCCCAAGUAUAACAAUGUCAUCUUCUACGGCAAAUCGAAGGCAAUUAAUGCGUGGUCGUUCAUGGUUGCUAUCUUCGGUAUCGAAAGAGAGAUUAACUCUGACAAGCGUAAUUCUAGCUUUCAUGACCUCGAUUGUGGUUUUGAUAGUUGAGAUUUUGCAUAGGAAAGUUCAAGGUCAUUGGAUAAGAAUUUGUCGUGGGCAAUGGUGAUAAGAGCUGAGCAAGGAAAGGUGGAUGACUCUUUACGGAGUGUAUGAAGAACCAACCUGAUGGAGUCGAUGUGGUGGGGAUUAGCUGGUGCUUAUCGG